Molecule: long non-coding RNA, 4051 nt
Filed under: Mus musculus (house mouse)
Lineage: Eukaryota; Metazoa; Chordata; Mammalia; Rodentia; Muridae
Description: long non-coding RNA chr17:51859166-51863217
Source: RNAcentral
ACACUUAUACCACGCUCAGCAGCUGUCUGGCAUGAUAGGGUCUGUGGUAGGAAAUCAGAAUAUUGGACCUCACUCCAAGCCUAUUGUACCUUGCCUGCCACUGAACCAGAUGCCAAGGGCACAUGUGUACACCUGAGCUUUGAAGUGUUGCUUGGGAACCUAUGGUUUUCCCUGCUUUUUUCCCAAGUAGUGCUGAGAUUAAAGGUAUGUACCAACCAACACACACCAGCAGUUUCCCUGUAACAAUACAGCAUUCGUAUAAAGGGCUGUUCAGUUUAAAGCAACCCCAUAGACUUAGUCUCCUAGGACUGAAGUUGCACAAAUAGGAAAAAGCAAUGCAUGCUGUGUCUUGUCCUCCACCUUUUGGACCACUGGUAGGCAUGGAGAGCUGAUUGGUAAAAAUCUGAUUGGCUUUUUUUUUUUUUUUUUGCAACGUGUUUUGCGAAAGAUGUUUGGAAGCGGCCUAAAUCUUAUUUAUUCUCUUGAGGUUAUCUGUAGGGAUGUGAAGGUGUAUGCAGCAGCUUGUCCCUUUGAAGGAUCGGUGUUCAUUUUUUUUCUUGUGAAAUAAAUAUCAAUAAUUAUAAAUUAUUAAAAUGUGGCUUUAAUGUUUUACAAGCAAGAAGUCGGAUGUGUGUAUUAGCAAUGAAGAUUGGAGUCUCAGGUAGAAACAAAUGAAUCACAAAGCUAAGUUCAAGUACAGAUAAUUUUUUUUCAUUGCCUGUGUUUUAUUGUAUGUUUACUAUAACAUCUUGGGAAGAUGGCUGAAUGGGUAAUGUGCUUGGUGUAAGCACCCACGUUAAAAGAACAAGUAGUUUUAUGGUAGAGCACCCCUAGAGCUCUGUAGCGUGAAAUAAUAAAAAAGGCAGUCCCACACUACUGCUGGCAAGGCACACGGACAGGCCAACCUGUCCUCAGCCCAGCAGACUCUGUGCGUCAGCCCUGAAAUCUCUCCACCCAGCCCUCUAAGUCCCCAUGGCUGGCUGCUGCCAAUAUGGUGGGCUGUUGUCACAUUCGCUCCACGCUUCCAAAUUCCCAUGGCUGGCUGGGGUGCCUUCCUCUGGAACCCAGUUGAGUCGCAGCAUGAAGGAAAACACCACACCAUCUUAGUUUCGAAUCAACAGGUAACACAGUCGCUGGGCGCAGAAACUAGCAUCCUAAUUUUGUAAACUAUUCUAAGUUAUAAAUCCUCUGGUGAUGGAUCCAGACGGAUCUGUCACCUAAAUUGGUGGCCUCUGGCUACUUACAUUGUGUCUCCAAUGCUCUCUCCUAUCCAAAAGGAAGCACAGAUAAUAUUUGAUGUGUUUUAAUUUGUUUUUUUUUUUCUUGCAACUAUUGGUUCAUUAUAAUAGUAAAUUUGACCGAUUAUUUCAUCUGGUGUUGUGUCACAUAAUAAAAUGUAACUAUGUUGUUUCAAAUUCUUCGUGUAAAGUUCAGGGUAUAAUAAAUACGUGGCAAAUGAUCACAUCUCACAGUCAUUUCCUAUGUAAGUAAAGCUGUGACCCCCUCAGUCAGGAGUCUGUGAGGAAGUAAUUGUUAGCUGAUCUCUGCUGUGUCUGAUAAGCAGAGUUGAGGGAUCUUAACUAAAAGUGAAGAAUAUGGUCUUUAACACAAAUAUACUACUAACACAGAGAGAAAGCAGGCAGGCAAGGUUGAGGAUAAUUGUUCCUUCUCAUAACCCCCUUUCCCCCUAUACUCUGUACUGAAUGUAGGGCCUUGCUUGGGCAAUCUUACCUAGACCCCAAAUCAUGUUCUUGGUAAGAAAUUUAUAAGUGUGUAGUUAAGAGCCUAAUUAUUGAGCUGCAUUACCACUCUUAGCUGCAGCCAUGUUGUCCUAGCCUUGUGCUUUCUGCACAGCCCACACUAGAUGAUGUUUGCUCCAGGAAGCAAAUACUUAAAAAUUAACAAAAGCUAGAGGGCAAAAGAGCACCCGUGUAAUAGGAAAAGGAAAAGCUGGGAUUUUGUCAUCUUUUGCAUAUAGAAAAGCUGGGAUCCAAUGUGGGCUGUACUGGUCCUAAUGGAGAGCACCAACUAUGAGUGGAUGUCAGCUUGCUUAUUUUAUACAUCUGAACCAAGGAGGCAGCGGGCUCAUGGUAUAUACAACUCAGCAGGGAGACAGAAUCUUGGAAGACUCAAUAGGGGAGUGGUCUCAGGCUUCAGGCUUCCUGGAGGAGGAAGCUGAGGUUGAUAGCCAAUCUUUGCCCUUGGACAGGAGGAAGACUUCCUUGGGUCUGAAGCUUUAUCUCCCUUGAUGUGUCUUUAUCUGAGUCAACAGUACGUAUUCGCUCAGGACCCACCUACUCUCCACAGAGAAUAAUAAUUUACCUUUGAAAAAAUGAACUCUAGAGCUAGGAUAAAACUCACUUUUAGGGUGUUUGCCUCACAAGCAUAAGGCCUUGAUUUUGAUUUCCAGUAAAACACACACACACACACACACACACACACACACACACACAGAGAGAGAGAGAGAGAGAGAGAGAGAGAGAGAAUUCUUUUAAUAUGGUCCCAUUUGUUCCUUAAAAGUUCAAGUGUUUUCUAUACUAACAGUUAUAUAAUAGAAGUUGAUUUUAAAAGUCUAACUUUAAAAUAGAUGUCUGGAGAGACAGUUCAACUGGAUCAAAGUUUCUACAUCUGGUGGCUUGUAACUUCAGUUCAAAAGAAUCAAACACCUUCUUCUAGCCUCCACUGGCACAUUCAUACAACAGGCACAAACAUACUCACACACACACUCUCUCACAGGAUAGAUAGAUAGAUAGAUAGAUAGAUAGAUAGAUAGAUAGAGAAAAUCUUUUACAAUCUUUUAAAAAGUUAUAGCAGAUAACUUAUACAUAGGAACAAAUCUAUGCACUUACCAUAUUACAGACGUGGGAUCUACUGAAAAGCCUGAAAAUUGAAAGUAUAUCCACAAAUUAUAUUAGCUCCUCAAAACAUUGAAAAAGAAAAAAAGUAGAAAUAGGUCAAGUAAUGAUUCUAAACCAGAGCAAGAAGUAAUCCUGUGGAAUAGUCAAAUGACAUCAGAUAAGCCAUGGAUACCUUGGUGAGCUAUUUCCUGGUAAAUAAUUGCUCUCACUCAGGGCUACAGUUUCUUGGAACACCACCAGACACAAAACCACGGGCCAAGCUAGUCCAGCUCUGGAUCUGGAGUCGAUUUUAACAUUCCUACAUAGAUAAGAAGGCUCCCAGAGUCAUCCCUUUAUGCAGCAUUUUUUUUUUUUGAUGGCUAUCUGCAGCAGUGGCUUCUCCAGACAACUGCUGCCCUACAUAGACAUACUAAGCCACACUGCUGACAUAUCCAAGAGCAUGAGAGAUAACCCCUUACCUAAAUGAACUACACUAUACCCAAAGAAAAAAUAGUUAGAAACAAGUAAAAAGUUAAGAAAUACAUAAUCUAGAGCCUGUGAGAUGCCUUAGCACAGCAGUUCUCAACCUGUGAAUGGAGACUCCCUUGGGAGCACAGGGUGGAUAUAAGAUAUCCUGCAUGUCAGGCAUUUAUAUUAUGAUUCAUAACAGUAGCAAAAGUUACAGUUAUGAAAUAGUAUUGAAAUAUUUUUUUGGUUGAGGGUCACCACAACAUGAGUAUUGUAGAGUCACCAUGUUAAGAAGGUGAGAACCACCACUGCAUUAACAGAUUAAAAAGUGCUUGUCACUGCCAAAUGGCCCACAUUUGAUCCUCAGAACCCACAAGGUGGAAAGAAAGAGCUCACUAUACAAGUUGUUCUUUGACUUCCACAUGUGCACCAUAACACACACAAACACACACACACUAAAUAUAUGCAUAAGUGUAAUUAAAUAAUAUUUAAGUACAUAACCCAACACUAAAUUGGUAAAGAGAUGGAAACCGUAGCCUUACAGUGUUUCCCUCUAAAUAAUUUUUAUUUGCAAAGGGGAAAAAGAGUAACUUGGCAGAAAUCAAAGCAUAGGAGAAAUUUCUUUAACCAAAAGUAUGGUUAACAUCACUCCUACUAAGACCUUCUGUCCUGUUUCUAAUAGGAUGUGCUAAAGAGGGCACCCUGCUUCUGCCAGUUCUUUCCCAUUAGUUAAUUAAGUGAUCACC